AGAGGGGGCAAGCGUUAUUCGGAAUUAUUGGGCGUAAAGGGCGCGUAGGCGGCUUGGCAAGUGGAAGGUGAAAUCCCUCGGCUUAACCGAGGAACUGCCCUCCAAACUGCUUUGCUUGAGGCCGGGAGAGGUGAGUGGAAUUCCCAGUGUAGCGGUGAAAUGCGUAGAUAUUGGGAGGAACACCAGUGGCGAAGGCGGCUCACUGGACCGGUUCUGACGCUGAGGCGCGAAAGCGUGGGGAGCAAACGGGAUUAGAUACCCCGGUAGUCCACGCCGUAAACGAUGAGUGCUUGGUGUAGCGGGUAUCGACCCCUGCUGUGCCGAAGUCAACACAUUAAGCACUCCGCCUGGGGAGUACGGUCGCAAGGCUG
This 371-nucleotide ribosomal RNA is filed under the name uncultured bacterium. RNAcentral describes it as "bacterial SSU rRNA". It matches the Rfam family "Bacterial small subunit ribosomal RNA", at positions 527 to 896 of the family's 1533-position model. The record is from RNAcentral.